This 386-nucleotide ribosomal RNA is filed under the name uncultured eukaryote. RNAcentral describes it as "partial 18S ribosomal RNA". It matches the Rfam family "Eukaryotic small subunit ribosomal RNA", at positions 592 to 976 of the family's 1831-position model. The record is from RNAcentral.
UAAUAGCGUAUAUUAAAGUUGUUGCAGUUAAAAAGCUCGUAGUUGGACUUUUGGGGGAUGCUCACGGUCCGGUGGAUUCUGUCCGCUGUGUACUGUAUUCGUCCUUCUUCUGUUCGGUGGCUGUCUUGUCUCUUCACUGAGGCAGUUCAGAAACUGGACCGAUUACCUUGAGGAAAUUGGAGUGUUUAAAGCAAGCGUUCGCUAUUGAACAUGUUAGCAUGGAAUAAUAAAAUAAGACUUUGGUCUUAUUUUGUUGGUUUCUAGGACCAAAGUAAUGAUUAAUAGGGACAGCUGGGGGCAUUAGUAUUUGGCGGUCAGAGGUGAAAUUCUUAGAUUCGCCAAAGACUAACUACUGCGAAAGCAUUUGCCAUGGAUGUUCUCAUUAA